CCCAAAUUAUGUAUCGUCUAGAGACCCUGAAGAAAUGAAAGCUAUCGUACUAUGUUGCCUACUAGUGAGAGCCACAGAAUAAAAAAAAAAAAAAAAAUUUGAUUAGAGAAAGAGAGAGAGAGAGAGUAGUGGGUUUCAUAUUAGGCUGUCAGACAUUACGGUCCCGUGGUGAACUACCUGUCGUCUUCCGCUGGGGGCGUGUCUCCAGGAGCGCUCGUCAGAGGAGCGGGAGCCCGGCUGUCACUCAAAGUGGACUUGUUGAUUCCGCCGCAUCAUCUGCCCUAUUCGGAGUGACGCCGUCGAUCGGUCGAGAAUCAAGGAAAAGAAAAUGACAGAGAUUAGCAGCUCGGAAGAUGACCUGGACUUGCCUUUCGAGGAGUCGAUGAUUGGUCAGCUGAAUUCCCUGGAAAAGUAUGCAAGUGAGGAAUUUCAGAAAUUAAAAGAAAGUAACAAAAGCCUCCGUGAAUCACUAGAUCACCAGAUGAUCAGUGACAUGGCUGCACUUAAGACCGAGCUCAGCGCCUUAAAAUCACGCGUAGCAGAGCAAGGCCAAGAGAUAGAGGAGCUGAGAAAGCAGCUGGAAGGAAAGGGCAGCGGUGCUCCUGCACACUCAGGAGGCCAGAAGAGACCAGCUUCCUCGGCCGAGUGUGCUCCUGAACGGAAGCAGAGACGGUCCGAAGAGCUGGACGAGAUCCUGGAGCCAUUCUGGCCAGAGAGAUCAGAUGCACGGGAGAGGCUGACUGAAAGGCAGCAGGCCUUCUUCAACUAUAUGAUGGACGUGCUGAAAAUCAAAGAUCGGAGAAACCUGGAGACGAACGCGACGACGGUCCUCAACGAAGGGGUUUCCAGGGGCCUCUGGGAGGAGGACUGGACUCCUGCAGAAAUUAAAGGGACAUUCCAGCAAUACCUUGUAGGAAAAAUAAAAAAAUAUGUGACAGAGAGACAAAAGAAACUCUUCCAGGAGAGAGAGCUAGAUAGGCUCAGAAAAAUGGUUGGCUAGGAAGAAGAGGGUCUGUUCAGUUGGCUUUAUUUUUAAGUUUUUGUGCAUGUUGUUUAUUGUGUUCAUUGUAGAGUUUUCAAGUCUAAAAAGCGUCACAGCAUAGUAGUAUAGCACCACACAACACAACGAUACACAGUUAUAGCCACAUUCUCUAUAUAUUUAUGUGUAAGUUUAUUUUAUUAAUUUUAUUUACCUGUGACAUUUUAUUUUAUUGUUGAUGUUCCUUCCAGUCUGUUUUGGUCAUUUCUUUUAAACAUUAAACAGUUUUUGUAUCAAUAUCUGUGUCAAACUGUGUGCGUGUUUUCCCCCAAAUUGCACUACUGUUCAAUAAUUCGUGCCAUAUACAUAUAGUU
This 1353-nucleotide long non-coding RNA is filed under the name Carassius auratus (goldfish). RNAcentral's name for it is "lncRNA (ENSCARG00000021932.1)". The record is from RNAcentral. Lineage: Eukaryota; Metazoa; Chordata; Actinopteri; Cypriniformes; Cyprinidae.